Molecule: ribosomal RNA, 457 nt
Filed under: uncultured bacterium
Lineage: Bacteria
Description: bacterial SSU rRNA
Rfam family: Bacterial small subunit ribosomal RNA
Source: RNAcentral
CCUACGGGUGGCAGCAGUAAGGAAUAUUGCUCAAUGGGAGAAAUCCUGAAGCAGCAACGCCGCGUGAGGGAUGAAGGCCUUUCGGUCGUAAACCUCUGUAGAGAGAGAAAAAUGCCCGAUUCUAUCGGGAGUGAUGGUAUCUCUAAAGUAAGCCCCGGCUAACUACGUGCCAGCAGCCGCGGUAAUACGUAGGGGGCAAGCGUUGUCCGGAUUUACUGGGUGUAAAGGGUGCUCAGGUGGCUUUGUAAGUCAGCGGUGAAAUCUUAGAGCUCAACUCUGAAACUGCCGUUGAUACUACUUGGCUUGAGUAUGGAAGAGGUUGAUGGAAUUUCAGGUGUAGCAGUGAAAUGCGUAGAUAUCUGAAAGAACACCAGUGGCGAAGGCGGUCAACUGGUCCAUUACUGACACUAAAGCACGAAAGCGUGGGUAGCGAACAGGAUUAGAUACCCGAGUANUC